This 67-nucleotide transfer RNA is filed under the name Lepidophyma tuxtlae. Its description in RNAcentral is "tRNA-His". It matches the Rfam family "tRNA". From Rfam's summary of the family: Transfer RNA (tRNA) molecules are approximately 80 nucleotides in length. Their secondary structure includes four short double-helical elements and three loops (D, anti-codon, and T loops). Lineage: Eukaryota; Metazoa; Chordata; Lepidosauria; Squamata; Xantusiidae. The record is from RNAcentral.
GUCUUUAUAGUUUAAAAAACACUAGGCUGUGAAUCUAGCAAUAGAGGCCCUAGCCCUCUUAAAGACC